This 94-nucleotide transfer RNA is filed under the name Hadesarchaea archaeon B3_Hades. Its description in RNAcentral is "tRNA-Ile". It matches the Rfam family "tRNA". From Rfam's summary of the family: Transfer RNA (tRNA) molecules are approximately 80 nucleotides in length. The record is from RNAcentral. Lineage: Archaea; Methanobacteriati; Hadarchaeota (SeqCode); Hadarchaeia (SeqCode). RNAcentral also lists the same sequence under 1 other name.
GGGCCCGUAGCUCAGCUUGGCUGGAGCGCUCGGCUGAUAACCGGGAGCUAAACGCCGGUUAAGGUCGAGGGUUCGAAUCCCUCCGGGCCCACCA